RNAcentral lists this long non-coding RNA (570 nucleotides) under Helianthus annuus (common sunflower). Its description in RNAcentral is "hypothetical non coding rna". Lineage: Eukaryota; Viridiplantae; Streptophyta; Magnoliopsida; Asterales; Asteraceae. The record is from RNAcentral.
UUCGAAAAAGUUAUAAAGUUCAUCACCAAAGUAUGAACUAACGAACACUAAGGUACGUCGUGUAGCAUACGCGCCGCCGUUCUUUGCUAUUCGACCACUCUGUUCGUCGUGUACAAUACGCGCCACCGCUCUCUGCUAUUCGACCUAUGAAGGGUCCUGAAACAGCAGCGCCUCAUAUCUCUCCCAACCUCACAAUGCUUCAAUCCACAACUCUUGGAUCAUACAAUUUAGCUUGUGCAGAUCAUUGACAUUCAUACCAGAAAGGUCUUCUCCUAACAGCUGCCUGCAAGAAUGGUGCAAGUGGGUACGAAUAAAUAUAAGACCAUAUUAAGCUGAUGAAGAGGUAAACUUUUAAAGUUUAUUAACUCUGCUCUAUAGUUUACAAAUUUAUAACAGUAUACACUUUCUCAUUCUUGACCUGUUAGACACACUACUUGAUAUAAUCCAAAUGUGCACAUAUAAGGUUCUUUUAUGGGAUCUUGAACAUAAUCCAAAUGCUACAUACACUUGUAUACCAACAUCAAUAAUAAUUUGUAGUUUCCUUAUUAAUAUUCAGUAUUAAUGUUUAUG